GAUGAAGAACGCAGUGAAAUGCGAUACGUAAUGUGAAUUGCAGAAUUCAGUGAAUCAUCGAGUCUUUGAACGCACAUUGCGCCCCCCGGUAUUCCGGGGGGCAUGCCUGUCCGAGCGUCAUUGCUGCCCUCAAGCACGGCUUGUGUGUUGGGCCUCCGUCCUCCUCCCGGGGGACGGGCCCGAAAGGCAGCGGCGGCACCGCGUCCGGUCCUCGAGCGUAUGGGGCUUCGUCACCCGCUCUUGUAGGCCCGGCCGGCGCUUGCCGACACAUCAAUCUUUUUUCCAGGUUGACCUCGGAUCAGGUAGGGAUACCCGCUGAACUUAAGCAUAUCAAUAAGCGGAGGA
Molecule: unclassified non-coding RNA, 345 nt
Filed under: soil metagenome
Description: partial contains 5.8S ribosomal RNA, internal transcribed spacer 2, and large subunit ribosomal RNA
Rfam family: 5.8S ribosomal RNA (bases 1-120)
Source: RNAcentral